AUGUAUCUCACGGUUCUUAUUUUCCGUUCUGUUGCAUCACUUUUUUUUCCGAGAAAACACAAAGAGAUUCUUGUGUUUAUUUCGAUUGAAAAGAUAGGGUUCUGUUGCAUCACUACAAAUAAUAUGUUCAACUACUUGGGCUGCUUUGAAAACUGCUAUGCGUACGCGUUGGGCUGCUUUGAAAACUGCUAUGCUACUGUACUGAAUUUUGCAAUAUGUUUCGAAAAUGGAAAUGUUUGUAGCCGAAUUGAGCUAAGAUAUCGAGAAGAUCUUUUGUUCCCUAAACGGUUAAUAGAAUAA
RNAcentral lists this ribosomal RNA (300 nucleotides) under Triticum aestivum (bread wheat). RNAcentral's name for it is "partial small subunit ribosomal RNA". Lineage: Eukaryota; Viridiplantae; Streptophyta; Magnoliopsida; Poales; Poaceae. The record is from RNAcentral.